CCUACGGUGGGCCGCAGUGGGGAAUAUUGCACAAUGGGGGAAACCCUGAUGCAGCGACGCCGCGUGAGUGAAGAAGUAAUUCGUUAUUUAAAGCUCUAUCAGCAGGGAAGAAAAUGACGGUACCUGAGUAAGAAGCCCCGGCUAACUACGUGCCAGCAGCCGCGGUAAUACGUAGGGGGCAAGCGUUAUCCGGAUUUAUUGGGGUUAAAGGGUGCGUAUGCUGUGUAGUAAGUCAGCGGUGAAAUGCCCCCGCUCAACGGGGUGAAGGGCCAUUGGUACUGCCUUGCUGGAAUGCGGAUGCCGUGGGAGGAAUGUGUGGUGUAGCGGUGAAAUGCAUAGAUAUCACACAGAACACCGAUUGCGAAGGCAUCUCACGAAUCCGCGAUUGACGCUGAUGCACGAAAGCGUGGGUAUCAAACAGGAUUAGAUACCCGUGUAGUC
Molecule: ribosomal RNA, 441 nt
Filed under: uncultured bacterium
Lineage: Bacteria
Description: partial 16S ribosomal RNA
Rfam family: Bacterial small subunit ribosomal RNA
Source: RNAcentral